UGUGUGUGUACUGGUGGGAGGCUCGCUUGCUUGUUUGCUUUGUGCUGCUAAGUCACGUGACGGCACACCAGUGAAACACAAGAGGGAGGAGGAGGAGCAAAGGUCUGCCUGCUCUCCGCUGAGAUAGAAACGGCGAGACCGGCGACCUGGCUGUCGCUUACUUGACGAAACCGAAGCAGUGCAUACAAGAGCAAAACUGAAAAUACUUUAUUGAUAUUUUCCCGCUACUUUCAAUAAGAUACUGAUACUGACUUGGUAUCAAUACUAUUGAUAUUUGGAUCGAUCCCCCCACCACUAAUGCCAGGGAAACAGAAUGGAGAGAAAGACAAUAGCUAUGGCAUCGGCAUUUUAGGAGUGGUAGCAAGAAGAAGCCAGCUGAGCUCAACAGUUAAACUCAGAGAGUGAGAAACAGAGGAGGAACCCCCAGACACAUGCUCCUUCUCUGUUCCCCGCCUUGCUGACUUCUUCCACCACACCACCAAGCCAUCCACCUGCUCACGCCACCGCC
Phyllopteryx taeniolatus (common seadragon) is the source of this 508-nucleotide long non-coding RNA. RefSeq lists it as uncharacterized. NCBI's taxonomy places the organism in Eukaryota, Metazoa, Chordata, Actinopteri, Syngnathiformes, Syngnathidae. The record is from RefSeq and is a predicted model, not a curated record. The transcript is spliced from 3 exons.